This 621-nucleotide ribosomal RNA is filed under the name uncultured bacterium. RNAcentral's name for it is "bacterial SSU rRNA". It matches the Rfam family "Bacterial small subunit ribosomal RNA", at positions 202 to 842 of the family's 1533-position model. The record is from RNAcentral.
CAAAGGAGCAAUCCGCUGAGAGAUGGGCUCGCGUCCAAUUAGGUAGAUGGCGGGGUAGAGGCCCACCAUGCCGACGAUUGGUAGCCGGACUGAGAGGUUGAACGGCCACAUUGGGACUGAGACACGGCCCAGACUCCUACGGGAGGCAGCAGUGGGGAAUAUUGGGCAAUGGGGGAAACCCUGACCCAGCGACGCCGCGUGAGGGAAGAAGGUUUUCGGAUUGUAAACCUCUGUCCUUGGUGACGAUAAUGACGGUAGCCAAGGAGGAAGCCACGGCUAACUACGUGCCAGCAGCCGCGGUAAUACGUAGGUGGCGAGCGUUGUCCGGAAUUACUGGGUGUAAAGGGAGCGUAGGCGGGAGAGCAAGUCGACUGUGAAAUCUAUGGGCUUAACCCAUAGCUGCGAUCGAAACUGUUCAUCUUGAGUGAAGUAGAGGCAGGCGGAAUUCCUAGUGUAGCGGUGAAAUGCGUAAAUAUUAGGAGGAACACCAGUGGCGAAGGCGGCCUGCUGGGCUUUAACUGACGCUGAGGCUCGAAAGCGUGGGUAGCAAACAGGAUUAGAUACCCUGGUAGUCCACGCUGUAAACGAUGAUUACUAGGUGUGGGGGGACUGACCCCUUCC